This 118-nucleotide ribosomal RNA is filed under the name Jaculus jaculus (lesser Egyptian jerboa). Lineage: Eukaryota; Metazoa; Chordata; Mammalia; Rodentia; Dipodidae. The record is from RNAcentral.
AUCUAUGGCCAUACCACUCUAAAUGUGCCCAAAGUCACUUAAUCUUGGAAGCUAAGCAGGGUUGGCCUGGUUAGUAUUUGUAUGGGAGAACACCUAAGAAUACCAGAUGCCAUGGGUU